Molecule: ribosomal RNA, 508 nt
Filed under: uncultured bacterium
Lineage: Bacteria
Description: bacterial SSU rRNA
Rfam family: Bacterial small subunit ribosomal RNA
Source: RNAcentral
CUCCUANNGGGAGGCAGCAGUGAGGAAUAUUGGGCAAUGGGCGAAAGCCUGACCCAGCCACGCCGCGUGUGUGAUGAAGGCCUUCGGGUCGUAAAGCACUGUGGGGAGAGACGAAACAGCGCAUCAGGAAAUGGUUGCGCCUUGACGGUACCUCCUUAGCAAGCACCGGCUAACUCUGUGCCAGCAGCCGCGGUAAUACAGAGGGUGCAAACGUUGCUCGGAUUUACUGGGCGUAAAGCGCGUGUAGGCGGACUCGCAAGUCGGUUGUGAAAUCCCUGGGCUCAACCUAGGAACUGCAUCCGAAACUGCUUGUCUUGAGUAAUGGAGAGGGUGGCGGAAUUCCCGGUGUAGAGGUGAAAUUCGUAGAUAUCGGGAGGAACAUCAGUGGCGAAGGCGGCCACCUGGACAUUUACUGACGCUGAGACGCGAAAGCGUGGGGAGCAAACAGGAUUAGAUACCCUGGUAGUCCACGCCGUAAACGAUGAGAACUAGGUGCAGCGGAUAUUGA